Molecule: long non-coding RNA, 11567 nt
Organism: Bacillus rossius redtenbacheri
Lineage: Eukaryota; Metazoa; Arthropoda; Insecta; Phasmatodea; Bacillidae
Exons: 2
Source: RefSeq, a predicted model, not a curated record
CCGCGGCGUGCGGGGUCCCUCCCGCCCCCGCAGGGCGCCCAAGCCGCUGCCCGUCCCGCUGCGCUCCGCCCCCGCCUUCGGCUUCUACACGCCGCCGCCCCCGCCGCCCCCAGCCGACUGAGGAAUGGCAUCUUGUCUGGAUCAGUUCAACAUCUAAAGCAUCCUGUUUACGUUUGAAUUCCACCAUGAACUUAGCAAGAAGAUAGAAGGCGUGAACAACAUACUUGUGUUGUAUGUGAGCUCUGAAUCCAACAAAUGCCGGUCCUCCCUUAACUUUCACUGUAAAUACUCCAGUAUUUUUAUAUAUUCGAUAUUAUCUGUACAUAAGAUGUUUCACAAUAUUGUUUAAAGUGUUUGUGAUUUUAACUUCAAGAAAUGUGAAGCACUGAGUUGACUUUAUUUUCUUGUAGAUUGUAAACUCUCAAACGAUCAAGGCAAACAUUGUCCGUUUCUCAAGCUAUCAAGUCAAACUUGGCCUGUUUAACAGGGAGUGCAGUGGCGAUUCGUGAUUCGUGAAGGAUGAUGGUGUUUUAAUCUCGGGCACUCUUUUUAACCAUUAUUUUCAAGUCAUAAAAACCAUUUUACUCCAAACUGAAAAAGACAGGAAUCUAGAUGACGAAUAGUUUAUGAUUAUCUGUGUUUUGAAUUCAUUGCUAAUACAGAUUUCAUCGCUAAAACACACGUGAUGAGAAAUUACAAAUAAAUAGUUCAUAGUAAAAUAUUAAAAUGUAACUGUGUGAAUCUAAUAGGUUUAGUAAUUUUUAUUUCAGCGGUAAUUAAUAUCUCCUGUCAAUUUUUUCCGUAAUUAAACUAAUACAGUUACAAACAAGUUAUUAAAAUGUGAUAGAAAAUCAUUUAUGAUGCAAUCUGUACUCAUUAGCUCCAGCUAAAAUGCAGCGUAGGUACACGGAACAAUUUGACUUUUAGUGGCACAAAAUAUUCCACAAAUACCAGGAAACACCCAGAGAACCUUACAACUUAAGAUGAAUUGUACAGUUCGGGCCAAACGUCUUACGAACUGGGCUCCAUACUUGGAUGUAUACUUGCUCGGAACGGACCGGCAAUGCCAAAUAGUAGGGGGGAGUCCUACAGAACCAAACAGUGCCAAUUCAGCGUGGCCCGGUUACACUUCAACUAUUCUAAAAACAUAAUUAUUUCCUUUUUUCUAAGUUUACCUCACAGUUCCAUCGCUCGUUAACACUUCACGGUCAACAUAUUUUGAACGGGUUUAGCACUCUAAGUAAAUUUCCACGCCCAAGAAGAUUUGUCAUCCUCCUUGGAUCCACCACACUGAUAGUUUUAAGUUACACAUUACACGAUUAAUGGUGAUUGUUAACUGAGAGUAUUUUUUUUCUCUCUUCAGGCACACAAAUUCAUUACAGCGUGCAUUCAUCAUUUCAGCUCCGAACUGUGCGUGGUUCUAUGUUGCUUAAUUUAAUUAAGUCCUACGCCACCAAUGUGAAACUACUAACAUGUCAAACAUGGUAGUUACAUGUACUGUUUAUUUGUGCUGUCUCCCUCAGAUGAAGUCUGGCUUAAGUAAUAUCUUCACUGCGUUAAAUUUUAGAGAGUGUUUUGCCAAAAUUAUUAAAACGAAGAAAAAAUUUGUGAUUUUCAAGCGAAACAAGUGCACCGUAUUAAGGCAUAGCGAACCGCCACUGCCAGUACUUAGCUGUAGUUACUGUAUCAAUUAAUUGUGCACUUACAAACUAUGAUCAAUGUUACCAUUAUUGCAAAACUGCAGUGUUACAUUCUUCUUUUUGUCAAUAAUAAAAUUACUACUCUUAGUGCUUAUUGUGAUUUUGUAAAAAUUUACUUAAUUGCAUAAAAUAUCUAUAUUCCAACAUUAUAAAUCUUUUCACAGCACCAAGUCUAAUGAGCAUAGCUGAUACACUGGUGGCAAAUCUUUGAAGUAGUUUUAAAAUUUUGUUUUGAUUACAGACAUUUUAUGUAAAUGUUCAAACUAUUCUUGGUCAAAUCUAAUUGUGCGGUAGAAACCUAUAUAUAUUUUUCUUUCUUUCUAGAAUUGGAAGACGAAAAACUUGUCUCAUACAAAUUUAAUGUGUAAUUUUCCUUUUGUUUUGUGAACAAAUUUAUUUUGUAGUCUGCUGUUUCAGUAAAUGUGGACAGCAAAUAAUUUAGUACCGGCAUGAUAUUCUGUUAUUUUUGUUCUUAACUUUUUUAAAUGUUUUUAGUGACGAUUCUCCCUUUUUUUAUCAGUUAAUUCACUCCUUAAUAAUAAGAAAAUUCUCAUGAGACUCUAGCUUCUUGUCUUUUAUUUUCUUACUUUGACUCAGUUUUCGUGUUGUAUCAGCUAAUCCUUUGUCCUCUUUGCACCAGUAACCUGUGUGUAAGGUGUUUUUAUCAUCAGUGGGUUGGCAGACUUCGUAAAGCUAUGUUCACAAAUCCUAAAACCAUAUUCUUACCAAAUAUGUUAUGGUGGUAUUAAUUUUUGAGAUUGCCAGCCUGUUUUUCGCAGUAUCAAGAAAUGCUGUAAAUACUGAUAUAGUGAUCAUUAUUGGGACAGUUAGUACCAGCUUUUUGUGGCAUUUUUUGCUGAUCUUGAAAGUACAAAAUCAUUGCUCGAAAUUAUCAAUCAUCUCACAAAAUAAAAUUAAUAAUGGAAUCUACACUAGUGUGAACUGUGAUUUUGUGGACAUUACAGUGUAUGCAUAAUGAACCAAUAAUGGAUAUUUAAUAACAUGGUGUUAAUAAAGUUAAUUUCUCUGUUUAAGUGUACCCACAACUUAUUGUUUGACCAUAGGAAAGUUUUUUUACUCUUAAAUGUGGUUAUUUGUAACUUGCAUAUUUAUAAACUAUUAUUUAUCUGUUAAGCGUUUAAUGUACUAAUGGUUAAGUUAAGUGCCUAUAUCUAACAAAUAUUUAACAAAAAUUUAAUAAUUUAAGAUAUUUUCUUGUACCAUAGAUUUUGGUUAUGAAAAGACAGGUAACUUUUGAUGAUAAGAGGUAGUACAUAAGCUGAUCAGUAAUUUGCAGAUAUAAAUCAUGUUUCACAAUUGAUGGGCAUAUCUAGUUUGAAAACAAAUGUGCCAGAAUUAAUUGGGUACAUCCCAUAGGUUUGUAGGAAAAUAACUUGAAAUCCAGGUUCUAGGAAAAUUCUUUGUAUGAAUGGUCUGGAAGUCAUUCCUGUGGUUCCAGGUAUUCUUAUAAUGGUUAUUUAUUAUCACUUAGCCUGUGUUUUCUUCCUGUAGUUUAAUAUAAGUUGCUCGAAGACAACAAUAUAUGUUAUAUAUACCAGAGUGUUUGUUAUAAUGAGUGAUGGUGCUUUUGCUUACAAUGGCUUCAUAGGAAACAUAUGCGGUGUGUGAUGUACAAUGUGUAAUUGGUGGCAGAGGGGUGUAUCUAGUUUUCCUCUUGCCCUUCCAACAGCAACAAACUUACCAGGCAUAAUUUGUUUUGUACGCAUGUGCAUUAUAUGUUAAAUUAAUAUAGAAAUUUGCUGAGUUUCUUUUACCCUUGCUCAAACUCUCUCUUCUUUUUUUAUACUCCUGGUCUAUUUUUUUGUCAUAUUGGCGAUAAUAAAACCAAUCUAAAAAAUUUAUGAAAUUCUGAGUAGUAAUCUCAGAAACGCGCACGUGGCAUAUGUUUCUGUGGCUUUGAUGUCAGAACUAGGGCACUAUACUGUCCAACCUGAGCCUGCAUCUCUUCUUCCCCUCAUGAAGGUUGCUCCUCCCAGUCAUUCAUUUAUCAUCCACAGCCUCUACUGCAGACUGAGUAAGAAACAGCUCCAAUGGACAAACAUGAUCAUUGAUAAUGAGCGUAUUGUAACUACUCCCUUACCUUGCUUCAAGUCAACAAAGGGGAUAAUCUAAGAGAUGAAAGAGAAUGGUGAAAACAAAAUAAACUAGAGAAAUAAGUGAAGUUAGUUCUGAGCUUCUUACAUAGAUCUGUAAGCAAAUUGCACCAACCACCAAUGAAAAGAUCUAACAGAUUGGUGCAUUUCCAAAAUAUUUUAUUUCCAACAACAUUACUCAACAGCUUAUUAAAUGCUUAGAGCACACUAUUAUUGUUUUCAGUAACUGCAAAAAAAUACUAUUUGUUUGUGUGUUCUAAUAAGCGUGUUGGUUUUUAAAAUGUCGCAUAUUUGAAUUAUUAAAAAGGUAACUUCACAGCAACUAUUUUACACAUCAAUAAGUUGCAGCCACUAUCUCAAACUAUGACUCUCCACACUUUGUGUGUCACUGCUAUGCACCACAGUAAUACGUAAAAUAUUGUUAAUAUACAGAAAAUCUUCACCUCCACGAAAAAGAUCAACAAAGUAACAAAUAAAAUUAUUAAUACCAUGGUAUUGAUCAAAUGGAUAAAUAAGAUAUAUGCUACUUUACAGUAAUAAUAUGAUCGCUACUGUGCCAUAUCCAGCUAAUAUAAACAGCAUGCCACCUUCCAUAAACUUGUAUUUCACCAACAGAAACUGUUAAAUCUUCCGUUAAUUACUCAGUACAUUAUGACGAUAACUCUUACGAUGAAAACUUUUGUAUAAGAUGGCCAUGGUCAAAACUCCGCGGAAAAUGUGGACAAAAAGCCAGUACCACAUCAAACUUGAAAUUAAACACUUAGGCCCUACAGUAGCAUAAGUCGUCUCAUCAGAAGAAAUGAUCCUAUCUUACAAGCCAACAACCCUGCUUGCUGCCUCGUAACAAGCGCACAGGGGAAAACGCUCGCUUUUCCAAACAGGCAGGAUGCAGCCCAUUUCCCCCAGCACAGGAAACCAGCAACGCCACUGCAGAAUGGCGCCCGAAAUAAUUCGACUACUCUUGUCAUGACCCUCCAAAACGAUUAAAAAAUCAUGAAGCACUAGGAAAAAAAUUUCGACUCUAGUAGAUUCACUGCAGCAACACGAAUCAUACGACUCUUCGUUAGCACACAACUACCGGCCAUAGAAGACCACUCUUAAACUCUCGCAGCAGACGUUCACAAACAUUAAGGUUUUGUUACGAUGUAUAAUGUGGGGAGAAAUGGGUUCGUAAGGGAUGGCCCAGUUAUGAUUUAUUACAGUUUUAUUGAUUACUAAUAUUUACAUUAAUAAUAAAUAAUUCUACUUAAAAAUAUCCUCAAAUCACUCAAUGUCUGUCAAGUUCCACAGUUCGCACUCCUCACUGGAGCUAGGCUCGGCAGUGGUUCGCCCCUUACCUCGCGCCUGUCCACACACACAGUCUCGCGCCACUCAGUCGCACUCUCACGAUUCAGUCGAACUCCCCGUCUUGCCACUCUCAGGGAGGGGGUCUCUCACCCUCUUCGUCAAUGUCACGCUUCUCUUCGCUCGGAAUCCGCUCGGAACUCACGCGGAGGCCGACGUCGCGGCUUAAGUAGUCGUGGGUCGUCUUUCCAAAACCGACGAGAACAGCUGUGACGAGUCGCGUCAUCCCGGGUCGACCCGACGCCCGAACAGUCCAGAAAAGCAGCGGCGGCCCGCGGAAUUCUCCAGGCCGCCCAGCGAUGGAUAACAGCGCCGAGGUAGGACGACGCGCGGGGCGCGGAGGGGGAAAGGUGGUAGCGACGGCCCUUGUAAUCCGGCCAGGCACGUGUGACAUGCCUUACGUCAGUGAACGUCACGUGACUCAGGGCGUGACGCCGGUGGCCUGGCAGGGCCGCCAGCCAGCUCCGAACCUGGCGAGUGUCGCGGUCCUGUCCGCGUUCGUAACAGUAUUUUUUUUGUGUCAGUUGCAUAAUUAAUUCUACAGCACAGUAGAAUCCCUGAAGAAAUCAAACGGGUGAAUCCCACUUCCCAUCUCAAGGCUUGGAUUGCAACAACAAACCCGCUCGCUACGCUCUCCUAUUUUCCUCUCAAAAAACAUGUUGCCAACUCCUCGCACGCACGCGGGGAAACUAAACCGCCAACCUCCGCCGCGCGCACAAAACAAAAAAAUUCCCAAACAACUACCGCCGCCCGCGCGCAAUCGCAGCGCAAGCACUGACACAGUGAAGUGCUGCUCUCAGGCGGCAGCGGCAGAAACAAGCACACCAACGUCAGCGCGUAGCACUGGCUCACUCGCCCCGGCAAUGUGGCGGCGCUAGCAACGCUAUAAUAUUAAAAAAAAACUCCCCCUUGAAUCGAAAAGCUCUCGUGCUUGCAAAAUUGUAACUCUGAAAUGGGAAUGAUAAACACUAUCCUGUGUAUUUUUCUCUCUCCUCUUCGCCCCCCCCCCCCCUCCUUCCCCCAACUCAAAGCCCGCAGGAAUCCUACAGAUUUACACCCAUGUUAGUAAAUAUUGUAUGGUAGAAUUAUUUUUUAUAUUUACCUUUUAUUUCACACUUUUUGUAGUCUGGCAGGUAGCUCCUCCCCCCUCCCCCUUUUCAUAUCCGUCCCUGUAAGGUGGCAUGUACAAUGUGGAAUAGCCACUGCAGUCUCCUCACUUGACCUCACAUAAAUAUUUUCAUUGUAGUCUUCAUUUGAGUAGUGGUGGUGGUGGUGGUGAAUUGCUCACACCGUACUCCUCGCAUAUUUCUGGGUUCAAACACAGUCAAGACUUUUGGUUUAUGAGAUGGCCCUAAAUAUCCAACAGCUCGACAUUUGGAAAUUCAUGCUUUGCCCAUUCCCUCCCCUUUCCUUCCCACUCAUAGCUAUUGUAGCAGUGUUUUAAGUUGAUCAUUCUCAAAGCCCUCUGGGCCUCCAAUGUUCACGUGAAAAUUUUGAUUUGUCUAUGUACAACUUUCCUGUGUGUGGUUUGACAUCAUUGCUUUUCAACACAUGUGGACAGCAUAUAGCAGAGUGCAAACAACAUUUUGAUAAUACCUUGCAAAUGUAAGUUGUUAAGGUACCUUAAAUGAAAUAUGAUCAGGAAAGGCAUGGUAAUCAGUCUCAUAUCUAGUUCUCCCACCUAGCAUAGCUCCAACACUUUAGUUUCAAAUAAUUUCCCUGUAAUUUUUUUUGACAAAAUUGUUUUCAACCAAUUAUAGCACGUAGCAUUACCUGACUGAACUGCUGAAGCUUUUGGGCUAAACAGUGAGAGAUCAGGUUAUGAAGUAUUAUGUAUUUAGUUGUAAGAAAGUUAUUAUUAUUUUUUUAUUGUGUAGCAGUUAGAUAUCAAGGUAAUGCACUAAACAAAAUGCAUACAACUGAAUGUUAUAUUGGUUAGCUUGUAGUUUUUACUAAUUGACUGUUUUUAUUUUAUGUCCAUGGUAUAGACAGCACCUGCUUUUAGAAAUGGUAUUUAUUGCAUUCAGUUUCAGGUAAAAUCUUACAACUGUGAUGUAUGCGAUCAAAACAUGAAAGAAUUUUUUUUGUUUAUAACAGAUCAAGAUGAUUUUCACAUUAUAUAUUCUUGUUAUGAACUGUGGAUUAACUUAUUUUCACACUCAAUACAGUUUAAUCCGCUAUUUUUUAUUUAUUUGUAUAUUGUGUUCAUAAAAUGAAGUUAGCAAAUGAAUGUAUAGUGCUUAAGAUUGAGUGAAUGUUUUAUAUUUAAUAAUUAUACUUGUUAAAUGUAUUAACAUUCAAAGUAUGCUAAUGUUAAAAUGGUGUAUCAUGAUGUAACUAGAGGAUCUUAAUAUAAUAUUGAGCUGUCAAGAAUGUGAUAACUCGAAAAAGCUAGUCACAAGUGCAAAGCUAUGCCGCAUCAAGGCUUAUAUUAUUUCUCAUUAAGUAAAAAGGUAACAAUUUUGUUUAAGUAGUUGUAGGUUAUUUGCUCAUUAACUACUUAUAUUUAAAUAACGUGAUAUUGUUUGACUCUCUAUAGUAGUUAAGAUGUUGAUUACUGUCAAUAAAAUUGUACUUGUCUAUAUGUUAAAUUUUAAUUCAUCUCAGUACAUGUGGUAUUAUAGAAAGUUAUUGUAACACAAGUACUUAUAUGUACUUUUUCCUGGCAUUUGUGAAAAUUUGGUUUAAAUUUACACUAAGCAAUUUAGUUAUUUAUUCAAAAUUAACAUUUUAUAGCUUGGAUGUUAGGUUUAGUUAGUAUUCUUUUUCUCACAAGAAUAACUUAUUUUAUAGAAUAUAUUUUACUUUUCAUAAAUCAUCAAACUGUGAACUAAAACAAAAAAAAAGUAAUUUCUUUUCUGGUAAGCAUUACCAAAAAUAUAGAAACUUCUUUGUUUUACCGGUACGAAUAUUUCACCAUCUCGUAAUUCUUCAAAAUUUAAUGUUCUUAUAAAUAAGGUAGAUGUUGUAGCAGUAAAAAUUAUAAUUUUUUGAUCUUAGAAUGUAUUAAAACAAUUAACUUUCUGGGAACAUUGAUAUUGUGACAAGUGCCACUGAUCACAAGUUAAGUUAAGUUUUAUAAUAAUUAAUUUUAUGUUUUUGUCACGAUUUCAUUUAAUGGGAUUAUUAGGGUUGGAAACUUGAUCUCCGUACUAACGAGAACAUUCUAUUGACUCGGAGAUUUUUAUGUAUAUUUUUUGGUAAAGUUUAAGUUAUUGUUUUAUGGUUCUAUUUUUAAAUAUUAUCUUGUAUUUAAUUUUCCAUGGGCAGCAUAUAUAUACAUACUUGGGCAUUCUUAAAGAAGUGUGAGAAAGUGAAAGACUGGAACUAUUUUCAUUGACGCGCUGUUGAAAAGACUGACAGUGACAGUGCCCACGUACCAGGAGCAGUCUUGUUUAUGUGCGGAGGCGCAAACAUUGUAAAAUAAAUUCAUUUAAAAGUAUUUUCAACUCAACUCCGCAAAUAUCUGGACUGCUACCCAUAUUUUCAGGAUCGUGAGCCUUAAACAACAGCAGCAGAAAAUUUAAGAAGGACCUAGCAAUAGUAAUACCUGAAAUAACACAAACUAAAAAAGUUAAAGUAUAACAUAUUGGUGCUUUUACGUUUUGUUAGCUUCGGCAUUAAAAAGAAAAUACCGUCCUCAACUUGCAUGCAUUUAUAUUUACAAAAUUUGAAAUCACAAAAAAUAUAUAUAAAUUAGAACCUUUUUUACAUUUAGAAAAAAUUAUCUGGCCAGAUUUUUCAUAUUAUGUAAAUUACUUAUACACACAACUACAAAGUAAAAUAUGUAUGCACAAAUUCAGUUAAAUAUGAUGUCCUUUUCCUAAUAUUCCGUUAAAACGUUCCAAUUUAAAGUCAGUCUCGUUGGGGCAGCCUACACGCAAAUAAAUUUAAACGGAACUUCAAAAAAUUGUAACUUGCAUAUAAAUAACCAAAGUUUGUUUCUCGUAAGUUUUCCGGCGCGGACUUCGCGUUUCUUAAGGUGCUGACGGACCGGUCAUCGUUUACUCACGUGCACCACGCAAUGUUAUUUCUUGAAAUCACCGUCACUAAAGUUCUACCAGCUGGUUACUUACACUGCAAGUCGCUGGCCGACGCCGGUAGCCUACAACUCACAUAGUUUCGGUUCCCUACCACGAUCGUGCAACUUCGGAUUUCUCUCAAAAAUUGAAAUUAAAAAAAUCGAAGGGUUAGGUUAGGUUAGGUUAGGUCAGGUCAGGUCAGUCACAACAUGCUUGUUUUCAUUGGAAACUUCUGAUUUAGCGGCUGAAGUGGCGUUAAUACCAAAACGCAAAACUUCGGAAAUCUUCGGAAAUUCUUGCAGGGAACCGAAACUACGUGAGUUGUAGGGCGUAAAAUUGCAACACGGAAUUAUACCAAUGCAGGCUGCAAGCACCCAGUUGCCUGGCUGCUACACAGACUUUCCUCAUAGCAGCAGAAACACCUGGCUUGCAGUGUAACGAGAACAUUGGUGCUACAGUUAACGAAUUGCAGCCCGCUGACAAAGUCGGUGAAAAUUUGCACAACAUUUGAAAUUACCGCGCGGUGCAUUUCGCGGAAAUAUAAUUUACGUCUUUAAAAGUUUCACGUCGACACUUUUAAAUAAGCACCAUCCUUUCGUUAAAAACCCGGUUAAACGUACAGCAACACCCGGAGUUAUACACAUCAUGACAUUAGUAUUUUGCAUGACGUUUUCUGCGCUAGCUCUCGCUUCGCGACCGCCCGAGCCAAGAGUGACUGGGCAGCCUUCUUUUCACAGACGAGAGAGCCAAACCUCCGAUCGUGCAUCUUCGGUUUUUUUUUUUGUUCAUUGUAAAUAAAUAUGGCGGUGUUGAUAAAAGGAUACUAAUGGUCUAUUAGGUUAGGUUAGCUACAUUAUAAAUACUUUAAAACAUUGUGGACGGUUGAUUUGGUUAGGAUAGCUACAUUAAAGAUACGGAAAAAAAAAACAUGAACUUCGGGUUUUGGCUCUCUCGUCUGUGAAAAUAAGGCUGCCCAUAGUGACUUCUCUCCGCCUGUCUGCGGCUUGCCCGCCGUAGCACGCCGCUGUCGUGCGCCAAAGAAAAUAGUCCCAGUCUUUCACUUUCUCGCAUUUAUUUGUGCAUGCCCAAGUAUGUUUAAGUAUAUAUAUGCUGCCCAUGGAAAAUUAAAUAUAAAAUAAUACUUAAAACUGGUACCAUUAAAAAUAACUUAAACUUUACUAAAAAAUAUACAUUAAAAUCUCCGAGUCUGUAGAAUGUUCUCAUUAAUACGGCAAUCAAGAUGCCAACCGGAUAAACUCAUUAAAUUAAAUCGUGACAUAUAUAAAAUAAAUUAAUAUAAAACUUAACUUAAAAAUUAGCUUGAACUGUUGUUUUAUUCGUGUGAUCAGUGACAUUGGUCACAAUAUUUAUAUCAUGCAAGCGUGGCUCUAAAUCUAGUACAUUUUUAGGCACACACCAUGUAUGAAAGAAUAAUUCUGCAGUACCUAUCUUGCCAACAUAAUAUCAAAAUAAAACUUUUAUUUGUAUGAUAGAUGAAAUGUAUGUUAAGUUUUGACUUGGGCAAUUAUUCGAAAUGUGAAUAUCUUACUUUCGAAGUUACCGGUACUCUACCAAAUAUAGUUUUGUAGAUUUUCCUGGCAAUGUGGUUCACAUUCACCACUUAAACCUUCCGUUGACUCAUUUAUACACAUAUCUAUGUUAUACUAGUUCUGUGAGUAGAUAAAGCAGAAUUUUGGCAUUCACUCAUGCUUAUAUGAGGGUUGGUAAAUUCCAUCGGGGAAUGAGAACUGGUGUGGAGUAACUCAGGACAGCUGAACUUACAGGUCUCAGAAAGCCUGAGAUACAGGUUUUUAAUUCGGGACCCUGUUUGUUUUUCCCAUUUUUGGUUUCACAGCAGAGUUUUCACUUAAUAUUUGUUUUGUCAUAACUGUGUAUAAUUAUGUUUACUUUUUUUAAUAAAUAAUUUGAGGUAAAACUUAUUCAUUACUUGCAUUAGGGUAUUUUUCCUGACAUUUAAAUCCCAAAAGCUUGAGUAAAAUUAGCAUAUGGGUUAUGAAAUUAAUUCAAAUAAUGUAACACAAAAAUAAGCAGUUGUGAUUAAAUAAUAUGCCUCAAAAUAUAUCUAAAUACAUACCAUAUGACUAACUUUACUACCUUAAUAAUUGUUAUGUCAUUUUGUUUUAAAUGUUGAUACAUAUAUAAUUUUAAAAUGUUUGCACUAAUUGUGUUUUGCAAUGCAUUUUUUUUAACUUCCUAAUACAGAAAUUGUAAUGUAAAUUACGUUUAGGGAGGGACAUGGUGAAAAUGGCAAACAGUGCAUAUAUAAGUAUAAUAUUGCUAGUCAGAUUCAAUUGGUUGAAAUUUUUUUUUAUGUAGAGCAUAUGACUUGUGUGUUGUUUGCAGAAAAUAAAAUAUUUUAAACAUUA